AGCGUACACGGUGGAUGCCCUGGCAGUCAGAGGCGAUGAAGGGCGUACUAAUCUGCGAUAAGCGCCGGUAAGGUGAUAUGAACCGUUAUAACCGGCGAUACCCGAAUGGGGAAACCCAGUGUGAUUCGUCACACUAUCAUUAACUGAAUCCAUAGGUUAAUGAGGCGAACCGGGGGAACUGAAACAUCUAAGUACCCCGAGGAAAAGAAAUCAACCGAGAUUCCCCCAGUAGCGGCGAGCGAACGGGGAGGAGCCCAGAGCCUGAAUCAGCAUGUGUGUUAGUGGAAGCGUCUGGAAAGGCGCGCGAUACAGGGUGACAGCCCCGUACACAAAAGCGCAUGUGCUGUGAGCUCGAUGAGUAGGGCGGGACACGUGGUAUCCUGUCUGAAUAUGGGGGGACCAUCCUCCAAGGCUAAAUACUCCUGACUGACCGAUAGUGAACCAGUACCGUGAGGGAAAGGCGAAAAGAACCCCGGCGAGGGGAGUGAAAAAGAACCUGAAACCGUGUACGUACAAGCAGUGGGAGCACAGGUUUACCUGUGUGACUGCGUACCUUUUGUAUAAUGGGUCAGCGACUUAUAUUCUGUAGCAAGGUUAACCGAAUAGGGGAGCCGGAGGGAAACCGAGUCUUAAUUGGGCGUUAAGUUGCAGGGUAUAGACCCGAAACCCGGUGAUCUAGCCAUGGGCAGGUUGAAGGUUGGGUAACACUAACUGGAGGACCGAACCGACUAAUGUUGAAAAAUUAGCGGAUGACCUGUGGCUGGGGGUGAAAGGCCAAUCAAACCGGGAGAUAGCUGGUUCUCCCCGAAAGCUAUUUAGGUAGCGCCUCGUGAAUUCAUCUCCGGGGGUAGAGCACUGUUUCGGCUAGGGGGCCAUCCCGGCUUACCAACCCGAUGCAAACUGCGAAUACCGGAGAAUGUUAUCACGGGAGACACACGGCGGGUGCUAACGUCCGUCGUGAAGAGGGAAACAACCCAGACCGCCAGCUAAGGUCCCAAAGUCAUGGUUAAGUGGGAAACGAUGUGGGAAGGCCCAGACAGCCAGGAUGUUGGCUUAGAAGCAGCCAUCAUUUAAAGAAAGCGUAAUAGCUCACUGGUCGAGUCGGCCUGCGCGGAAGAUGUAACGGGGCUAAACCAUGCACCGAAGCUGCGGCAGCGACACUGAUGUGUUGUUGGGUAGGGGAGCGUUCUGUAAGCCUGCGAAGGUGGCCUGUGAGGGUUGCUGGAGGUAUCAGAAGUGCGAAUGCUGACAUAAGUAACGAUAAAGCGGGUGAAAAGCCCGCUCGCCGGAAGACCAAGGGUUCCUGUCCAACGUUAAUCGGGGCAGGGUGAGUCGACCCCUAAGGCGAGGCCGAAAGGCGUAGUCGAUGGGAAACGGGUUAAUAUUCCCGUACUUGGUGUUACUGCGAAGGGGGGACGGAGAAGGCUAUGUUGGCCGGGCGACGGUUGUCCCGGUUUAAGCGUGUAGGUGUGUGUUCCAGGUAAAUCCGGUUCACUUUAACACUGAGGCGUGACGACGAGGCACUACGGUGCUGAAGCAACAAAUGCCCUGCUUCCAGGAAAAGCCUCUAAGCAUCAGGUAACAUCAAAUCGUACCCCAAACCGACACAGGUGGUCAGGUAGAGAAUACCAAGGCGCUUGAGAGAACUCGGGUGAAGGAACUAGGCAAAAUGGUGCCGUAACUUCGGGAGAAGGCACGCUGACACGUAGGUGAAGUGAUUUACUCAUGGAGCUGAAGUCAGUCGAAGAUACCAGCUGGCUGCAACUGUUUAUUAAAAACACAGCACUGUGCAAACACGAAAGUGGACGUAUACGGUGUGACGCCUGCCCGGUGCCGGAAGGUUAAUUGAUGGGGUCAGCGCAAGCGAAGCUCCUGAUCGAAGCCCCGGUAAACGGCGGCCGUAACUAUAACGGUCCUAAGGUAGCGAAAUUCCUUGUCGGGUAAGUUCCGACCUGCACGAAUGGCGUAAUGAUGGCCAGGCUGUCUCCACCCGAGACUCAGUGAAAUUGAACUCGCUGUGAAGAUGCAGUGUACCCGCGGCAAGACGGAAAGACCCCGUGAACCUUUACUAUAGCUUGACACUGAACAUUGAGCCUUGAUGUGUAGGAUAGGUGGGAGGCUUUGAAGUGUGGACGCCAGUCUGCAUGGAGCCGACCUUGAAAUACCACCCUUUAAUGUUUGAUGUUCUAACGUGGACCCGUUACCCGGGUUGCGGACAGUGUCUGGUGGGUAGUUUGACUGGGGCGGUCUCCUCCUAAAGAGUAACGGAGGAGCACGAAGGUUGGCUAAUCCUGGUCGGACAUCAGGAGGUUAGUGCAAUGGCAUAAGCCAGCUUGACUGCGAGCGUGACGGCGCGAGCAGGUGCGAAAGCAGGUCAUAGUGAUCCGGUGGUUCUGAAUGGAAGGGCCAUCGCUCAACGGAUAAAAGGUACUCCGGGGAUAACAGGCUGAUACCGCCCAAGAGUUCAUAUCGACGGCGGUGUUUGGCACCUCGAUGUCGGCUCAUCACAUCCUGGGGCUGAAGUAGGUCCCAAGGGUAUGGCUGUUCGCCAUUUAAAGUGGUACGCGAGCUGGGUUUAGAACGUCGUGAGACAGUUCGGUCCCUAUCUGCCGUGGGCGCUGGAGAACUGAGGGGGGCUGCUCCUAGUACGAGAGGACCGGAGUGGACGCAUCACUGGUGUUCGGGUUGUCAUGCCAAUGGCACUGCCCGGUAGCUAAAUGCGGAAGAGAUAAGUGCUGAAAGCAUCUAAGCACGAAACUUGCCCCGAGAUGAGUUCU
This 2777-nucleotide ribosomal RNA is filed under the name Salmonella enterica. Its description in RNAcentral is "bacterial LSU rRNA". It matches the Rfam family "Bacterial large subunit ribosomal RNA". Lineage: Bacteria; Pseudomonadati; Pseudomonadota; Gammaproteobacteria; Enterobacterales; Enterobacteriaceae. The record is from RNAcentral.